CGUAGCUAACGCAUUAAGUGCCCCGCCUGGGGAGUACGGCCGCAAGGCUAAAACUCAAAGGAAUUGACGGGGGCCCGCACAAGCGGCGGAGCAUGCGGAUUAAUUCGAUGCAACGCGAAGAACCUUACCAAGGCUUGACAUUCACCGGACCGCCCCAGAGAUGGGGUUUCCCUUCGGGGCUGGUGGACAGGUGGUGCAUGGUUGUCGUCAGCUCGUGUCGUGAGAUGUUGGGUUAAGUCCCGCAACGAGCGCAACCCUCGUUCUAUGUUGCCAGCACGUGAUGGUGGGGACUCAUAGGAGACUGCCGGGGUCAACUCGGAGGAAGGUGGGGAUGACGUCAAAUCAUCAUGCCCCUUAUGUCUUGGGCUUCACGCAUGCUACAAUGGCCGGUACAAAGGGUUGCGAUACUGUGAGGUGGAGCUAAUCCCAAAAAGCCGGUCUCAGUUCGGAUUGAGGUCUGCAACUCGACCUCAUGAAGUCGGAGUCGCUAGUAAUCGCAGAUCAGCAACGCUGCGGUGAAUACGUUCCCGGGCCUUGUACACACCGCCCGUCAAGUCACGAAAGUUGGUAACACCCGAAGCCGGUGGCCU
RNAcentral lists this ribosomal RNA (590 nucleotides) under bacterium. Its description in RNAcentral is "bacterial SSU rRNA". It matches the Rfam family "Bacterial small subunit ribosomal RNA", at positions 847 to 1436 of the family's 1533-position model. The record is from RNAcentral.